RNAcentral lists this ribosomal RNA (216 nucleotides) under Glomeromycotina sp. RNAcentral's name for it is "partial small subunit ribosomal RNA". The stretch from base 46 to 216 matches the Rfam family "Eukaryotic small subunit ribosomal RNA", at positions 692 to 864 of the family's 1831-position model. The record is from RNAcentral. Lineage: Eukaryota; Fungi; Glomeromycota.
GGGUCAGUAGGUUGGUCGUGCCACCGGUACGUACUGGUCUCAAGGAUUCCUCCUUCCUGAAGAACCGUGAUGCCAUUAAUUUGGUGUUGCGGGGAAACAGGACUGUUACUUUGAAAAAAUUAGAGUGUUUAAAGCAAGCUAACGCUUGAAUACAUUAGCAUGGAAUAAUGAAAUAGGACGAUCGAUCCUAUUUUGUUGGUUUCUAGGAUUGACGUA